GUGGACGGGCAAUCGUCAACUGUUUUGCACGGUGAAGUUCUAGGUCAAGCGAUACCUAAUCGCCAGCGUAAGGACGCACCACCUGUGCCGCGAACAGGCGGCACUGUUGCGAAUUGUUACGGACGGUCGGGCAGAGACACCCGGGCAUCGCUCGUGUUCUCCGGUGGCAGCAGGAAAACUGGAUCCAAUUUCAAGGGCAUACAUCACCGAAGGGAAUCGGUUCGUGAUCUCGUGUGACUUUUGAUGCAAACCACCCACUCGGGAUGACCCACUAAUGGAAUGGGAAGGAAGUGAUGCACCGCCGCCGAAGGGUAGAAUUAUGGAAGCGCGGAUGAUCGUGAAUCAUCGCUUCAUGGAGGAGCACGAUCAACUCUUUUAUCGAAUGCAGUAUGACGGUGAAGGGCUUCAAUCCCCUUGGAUCAAAGCUUGAUCCAAGGAACAAGCAAUCAUCAUCAUUACAAGAUCGGUAGCGAAUCAGCUUUGUUUGUGGCAGUAGGAAGCCGAUCGGGGGCCCUAACGCCAAAGCCAACAACCUCAGCAUUGAGCCUCUUUUACACUUUCCGAAGGCUAUGACGUCGAGCAGUUCUAGACUUCGCGUUCUAAGCUUUUCCCAUGCUCGGCGAAGCACCCUCAGUCAGCCAACGAGAAGUGCAUGAAGAAGUACGUUCAAUCAGCGCACGUUGUUCGGUAGCGAUUUGUCGUGGGCUUAAUGUUGGAAUGAUCGUGCCUACAUUCUGCUUCCAUUACCACCCGGCAGCAUGCCCGCACUCCUUCGUCCUGUUCGAACCGUGCUCGGAGGACGUUGACUAUGUGAGUGAGCGCCUUUGUUUGUUGGAUUUUUGUCACCUUCGUCAUAGGCAAAUGUUUAUUGCCGCGCUGACUGCAACAUUAUGUCGUACCGAGUAAUGCAAAGCGAUAAUCGUUAUACUGCUCGUGAGGUGUGUGCUUGUGCACUGCCAGUUGGGCGUGUGAAGGCUGCCGGCAGGGUUGUUAAGCGGCUGAUUGUUAUUGGGUGCUUUAUCAAGCGAUUAGAUGAAACAUAAAAUUGAAACCAACGAGCGACCGGCUGCUAAUCCCAACCGCUUGCGUCUCCUCCGAUUUGUGCCGUAAACGCAUCAAGAAUGUUAAAUGACUUUCUGUGCUUCUUUUCUGCAGAGCUUCUAUUCACUGUGCGGCAGUUGCUGCAGAAGCCGGCAACUGACCUUAAAGAAUAAAAAUGGUUUGUUCGAGGAGCUGGCCGCCGCUUCUUAGGCCGUAUUGAGGUUGUGGGAAAAAAGCUUCAUCUCGAUUAAUUUUUCCACCAGCAUCAAUUGGAUUCGAUUAAUUGAAAGCUCUGCUAGAGCAACUCCGAUGGAGUUUGUGCAUUUCCGUCCAUUCCAAAGUCUGCAGGAGGAGGCGCAAAAUGACAGACCGUUAAUCAUAAUGCUGCACGGGACUUGCCGAAGAACGCCAGCUUAAAGGAAUACGAUUCAAGUGAAUUUACUCCGGUUGACACGGGGGCCCCAGAAUACGAUUGCAUACUUUUCAUUUCCUUGGGCGCUUGAAAUCGAGGUUGACAACUUGUCUUCAAACCGACCAACCGCGAUCAAUCGCUGCGGAGACAGUUUAUGACAUCGGAUCAUUAACGGUGGUGACGUAGAUCGAUUAAUUACCCUUGUGCUCAUUCUUUGCCACGACCUUCCUCCAGCUGUACUCCGGUUCUGGAUCCCGAAAGGAUGAAGUUUGCUAGCAUUAUCCCCACAAAAAUCUCACAGAGCACCGCUGGAUUGGAUUUUAAUUGGCUAAUGAGAAGUGUUUACGAUUCUCGCUAGAACCAGUGCCAGCACAGUUGAUCAUUUUCAUGGCACGAAUUUAUGUGCUUCACAACAGUGCGAUUUAUGAUCGUCUUUGAAAUGUGACGCUUUGACGCGUCAUGAUCCGGCAUACGGUGUGUUUGCCUGUUACACGGAGGCUAUAAACCUACCCACGGACGGCACACGGCGCUCGUGAGGUCAUUGUUUCUAAGGUGUCAUAAUUUUCUGUUCGGAAGGGUCGCCUACAAAAAAAUACUAGUUUUGGCUCUUAUCGAAAGGUAUUACUUUAGCCGGUACAAACUAGAACUUACUGAGAGUUCUGUUACCGGCCACAAUAUUCGAACCGUACCCCCACUUUUUCACUCAUGUUUUAAAUAAAAAAGGCAAUGAUUGACACCACCAGAUACGGCAGCGUAGGGGGAGCGUAGGGUUUGGAAAUGUUUCCACGUUGCCUAUAUCUUCCGGUCACGAUCGCGUACCUUUCACUGUGCGCCCUAAGAGAUUGCGGUGCGAACGCAUUUCAUAAGCCAGUACGGCUCGUUAAUCAUUCUCCUCCCACCCAGGUCGGGUGGGACACAAUCCAAUUUUUAAGCAAAAACCCGACCCGACAAAAAACAAAUCAGGAUCAAAAGUGCAAAUUUCACCCGACGUUGACAAAUGAAGGCCCACGGUGGUUCCCGAUUGGGGUUACGUUAGGGUAACUGUAUUGCGAAAAUGAGCCCACUAAAAUAGUGAUUUAAACUGUUAAUAAUGGGCAGAAAAAAAUGGGCGUUAUUUUAAUUUAAAAACGGCACGUCCAAAGAUAAACAGGGUUUGAUUGCAUAGUUUUCCCACACCCUUAACCUUCGCGCGAGCCACAUCCUCCACUCGUAGACAUCAGGGCCAUCAGUACACCAACCGCGCUAACAAGAAGAAAUGGAGAAGGAAAUCCGGAAAUCGCGAAGCCAUCACAACACAACAAUGGCCGAAAACAUGGCUGCAAAGCCGGCGAAAACUGUGUGGAAAAUGGUGGAGAGCCAUAAACGGAGCACGAUACAAUCCAAUCAACAUCUGCCUAUCUUCGUUUUCCACCUGUUAAAAACUGUGUUGAAUAAUUAUGGCCAUUUUUUACGCCACGCCACUCGUUGGGAGACGCGUUCUGGCAACGGAUGCGAGAAGCCUGUGUCGCUAAUAAAGUUCCAUUCCAAGGGUAGCGCUGAAUUCCGACCGACAGCACCACUGACCUAGUGAGGGAGAAGAGCCAGCCAGCUCGGCUCGGAGUAAUCGGCCAUCCACCCACAUGCAGGAAUGACAGUGCUAUGUAGUGACCGCAUUCGAGGGGGGCACAUUUGCAUUGGGCAGGGAGGGUCGGCGAUUAAGUGUGGCGAUUUCAAUUAACAACGAUAAACACAUACUCACGCUCUUCCGGACUUCCUACCAUCUCCUAUGGUGGUGGAGGUUCGUUCGAGAUGGCUGGAGAUGGCCCGGUUGAAGGGUAGCCAAAAGGAAUAAUUAAUAAACGACGGCUUCGCGUAAGAGGCUGCCAGUCAGUUACGGUCCAAUUUGCAUGGCGGUUGGAUGAAAGAUGAAGGAUGCAGUGGCGGCGGCGGGUAAUUAAAUGGAGACCGUUUCCGAAUGUUUGCUAGCAUGAAAAACAAAGCAAAACAGCAAGCGACCGAAUCGCUAAUGAAGAAACAAAUGUGUAUUGUUGUUGGACUCAAAACCAAAAAAAAAAAAA
Anopheles stephensi (Asian malaria mosquito) is the source of this 3510-nucleotide long non-coding RNA. RefSeq lists it as uncharacterized. The transcript has 3 exons. Lineage: Eukaryota; Metazoa; Arthropoda; Insecta; Diptera; Culicidae. The record is from RefSeq and is a predicted model, not a curated record.